UACGUAGGGAGCAAGCGUUGUCCGGAAUCAUUGGGCGUAAAGAGCGUGUAGGCGGCCCGGUAAGUCCGCUGUGAAAGUCCAGGGCUCAACCCUGGGAUGCCGGUGGAUACUGUCGGGCUCGAGUCCGGAAGAGGAGUGUGGAAUUCCUGGUGUAGCGGUGAAAUGCGCAGAUAUCAGGAGGAACACCAAUGGCGAAGGCAGCGCUCUGGGACGUGACUGACGCUGAGACGCGAAAGCGUGGGGAGCAAACAGG
RNAcentral lists this ribosomal RNA (253 nucleotides) under uncultured bacterium. Its description in RNAcentral is "partial 16S ribosomal RNA". It matches the Rfam family "Bacterial small subunit ribosomal RNA", at positions 524 to 776 of the family's 1533-position model. The record is from RNAcentral.